This 477-nucleotide ribosomal RNA is filed under the name uncultured organism. RNAcentral describes it as "partial 16S ribosomal RNA". It matches the Rfam family "Bacterial small subunit ribosomal RNA", at positions 331 to 799 of the family's 1533-position model. The record is from RNAcentral.
GUACACUCCUGCGGGAGGCAGCAGUGGGGAAUUUUGGACAAUGGGCGAAAGCCUGAUCCAGCAAUGCCGCGUGAGUGAAGAAGGCCUUCGGGUUGUAAAGCUCUUUUGUCAGGGAAGAAACGGUGAAAGCUAAUAUCUUUUGCUAAUGACGGUACCUGAAGAAUAAGCACCGGCUAACUACGUGCCAGCAGCCGCGGUAAUACGUAGGGUGCAAGCGUUAAUCGGAAUUACUGGGCGUAAAGCGUGCGCAGGCGGUUUUGUAAGUCUGAUGUGAAAUCCCCGGGCUCAACCUGGGAAUUGCAUUGGAGACUGCAAGGCUAGAAUCUGGCAGAGGGGGGUAGAAUUCCACGUGUAGCAGUGAAAUGCGUAGAUAUGUGGAGGAACACCGAUGGCGAAGGCAGCCCCCUGGGUCAAGAUUGACGCUCAUGCACGAAAGCGUGGGGAGCAAAGAGGAUUAGAAACCCCUGUAGUCCCAUG